ACGAGUUAGGGUCUUUUGGCCCGAUCUCCCAACCCUUUGUAUAAUUGACCUCAUGUUGCUUCGGCGAGCCCGUCUCUUUUAGGGACCGCCGGAGGGUCGUUCACGCGCCCUCUGGCCCGCGCUCGUCGAUGGCCCCCUUUAAACUCUUUACAAAACGUGUCUUGAUCUGAGUUAUAAACCAAAAAUUAAAGCAA
RNAcentral lists this unclassified non-coding RNA (194 nucleotides) under uncultured Chaetothyriales. RNAcentral describes it as "sequence contains ITS1". The record is from RNAcentral. Lineage: Eukaryota; Fungi; Ascomycota; Eurotiomycetes; Chaetothyriales.